RNAcentral lists this microRNA precursor (103 nucleotides) under Marmota monax (woodchuck). Lineage: Eukaryota; Metazoa; Chordata; Mammalia; Rodentia; Sciuridae. The record is from RNAcentral.
GGGGCCAUUGAUGGAUCAUAUGGUAAGAGCAUGUUUAGUGUUGCAAGAAACCACCAAACUAUUUUCCAAAGUGGCUGUGCCAUUUUGUAUUCCCAUCAACAAU